Epinephelus fuscoguttatus (brown-marbled grouper) is the source of this 516-nucleotide long non-coding RNA. RefSeq lists it as uncharacterized. NCBI's taxonomy places the organism in Eukaryota, Metazoa, Chordata, Actinopteri, Perciformes, Serranidae. The transcript has 3 exons. The record is from RefSeq and is a predicted model, not a curated record.
UUUCACUUCUUCACAUCGCCAUCUCCAGAUCACUGCUGCAGCUUUUACAGAGCUCCAUCUUUCCCACUGAGGCUUUCCAGUUCAAAAUCCAAUCAGCAGAUCAGAUUGAAAACCUGACAGAGAAUCCUGAAAGCAAGGAAGAGAUCUCUGUGGGUGAUUCAGCUCCCAGUGAAAACCCCCACUUAAGGAAUAAUAACCAGGAGAAGUUCCAGCUCGUUGCAGUCUGCAGUCCUCACCACUAGAAGCCACUAAAUCCCCUAAAUGUUAAAGCCCUGACACACCAAGCCAACGAUCGGCCCCCCAAUUCAUCAUGUUGUAAUGCACACAUAAAUAUGCUUUGGUCUUUCAGAACUGGAUUGUGUUGUUAAUGUGCUAACUGGCUAACUAACAUCAAGACGGUCCUCUGGUUUCCCCUUUUGAAUGACAAUUACAAACUACCACCAUCUGCUAGUAUGGAGAAUUAUUUCGUAGCAGGCUGCUUCGUCGCCACUGGUUCUUUUAAGUCAGUUUGCUUUG